RNAcentral lists this long non-coding RNA (339 nucleotides) under Capsella rubella. RNAcentral describes it as "long non-coding RNA (CRUB_LNC004021)". Lineage: Eukaryota; Viridiplantae; Streptophyta; Magnoliopsida; Brassicales; Brassicaceae. The record is from RNAcentral.
UGAAAGAGAUAGAAAAUACUGAGUCGCAUUAUAAGACUGAUCGAUUAGAGUAAUAUAUUGGUUUGAGUUGAAGUGAACUCAUCUAAUUGAGAACAAGUCAUUGCCUCCCUUACUGACAUUACUAGUUUAAUGCGAGUUAUUUAAAGAAGGUUACUUACCGAACGAUGACACAUUUGUCAAAGGCUUCAUCUUCCAAGGAUAAAAAAAAAAAACAAAUCAAGAACAAAAACUUAGUGAAUCGUGUAUUAUGUAUUUGACUUGAGAAUGUUGGAGUUUCCGAUACAUAUUCUUCUUGCAAAAACAUUCUCGAAUUUGCAUGAUAAAAGUCUUGACACUCUC